RNAcentral lists this ribosomal RNA (373 nucleotides) under uncultured organism. RNAcentral's name for it is "bacterial SSU rRNA". It matches the Rfam family "Bacterial small subunit ribosomal RNA", at positions 526 to 896 of the family's 1533-position model. The record is from RNAcentral.
CGUAGGGUGCAAGCGUUGUCCGGAAUUAUUGGGCGUAAAGAGCUCGUAGGCGGUUUGUUGCGUCGGCUGUGAAAUCCCGAGGCUCAACCUCGGGUCUGCAGUCGAUACGAGCAAACUAGAGUGUUGCAGGGGAGACUGGAAUUCCUGGUGUAGCGGUGAAAUGCGCAGAUAUCAGGAGGAACACCGGUGGCGAAGGCGGGUCUCUGGGCAACAACUGACGCUGAGGAGCGAAAGCGUGGGGAGCGAACGGGAUUAGAUACCCUGGUAGUCCACGCCGUAAACGUUGGGCGCUAGGUGUGGGGCUCAUUCCACGAGUUCCGUGCCGCAGCUAACGCAUUAAGCGCCCCGCCUGGGGAGUACGGCCGCAAGGCUA